This 305-nucleotide ribosomal RNA is filed under the name Salmonella enterica. RNAcentral describes it as "partial 23S ribosomal RNA". It matches the Rfam family "Bacterial large subunit ribosomal RNA", at positions 1 to 301 of the family's 2925-position model. Lineage: Bacteria; Pseudomonadati; Pseudomonadota; Gammaproteobacteria; Enterobacterales; Enterobacteriaceae. The record is from RNAcentral.
GGGUUGUGAGGUUAAGCGACUAAGCGUACACGGUGGAUGCCCUGGCAGUCAGAGGCGAUGAAGGACGUGCUAAUCUGCGAUAAGCGUCGGUAAGGUGAUAUGAACCGUUAUAACCGGCGAUUUCCGAAUGGGGAAACCCAGUGUGAUUCGUCACACUAUCGUUAACUGAAUACAUAGGUUAACGAAGCGAACCGGGGGAACUGAAACAUCUAAGUACCCCGAGGAAAAGAAAUCAACCGAGAUUCCCCCAGUAGCGGCGAGCGAACGGGGAGGAGCCCAGAGCCUGAAUCAGCAUGUGUGUUAGU